GACGAACGCUGGCGGCGUGCCUAAUACAUGCAAGUCGAGCGAAGCGGGGACGGGUGAGUAAAACGUGGAUAACCUCCUAUAAGACUGGGAUUAGUUCGGGCAACCCGAGCUAAACCUGAGACUUAUAGAUUGUUCCGGGCUUCAUUUGCUAGUUGGUAAGGUAACGGCUUACCAAGGCACCGAUGCAUAGGCGACCUGGAAGGGUGAUAGGCCGACCUGGAACUGAGCCACGGUCCAGACUCCUACGGGAGGCAGCAGUAGGGAAUCUUCCGCAAUGGGCGAAAGCCUGACGGAGCAACGGCGCGUGAGUGAUGAAGGUCUUCGGAGCGUAAAACUCGGUUAUUAGGGAAGCGGUACCGAAUCAGAAAGCCACGGCUAACUACGUGCCAGCAGCCGCGGUAAUUC
RNAcentral lists this ribosomal RNA (405 nucleotides) under uncultured bacterium. RNAcentral describes it as "partial 16S ribosomal RNA". It matches the Rfam family "Bacterial small subunit ribosomal RNA", at positions 28 to 526 of the family's 1533-position model. The record is from RNAcentral.